CAUAUAAUUCAAUCACUCAGUACUCCAAUUACAUAAUCAAUAACUCAUAAAUCAAUCUUUGAUUUAUUCCACAGACUCACUUCUCAGUAUUCAAAAACUAUCCAUUACUCUUCAACAACAAAAAAAACAAAGAUACAAAGAGACAAAGAGGUAGCACCAAGCUUACCCCAUCUCAUAACUAUCAUAGUCUGGCUCCCAGACUAACUUCUAGAACUUCUAUAUACUUACUUCUUAUUCCCAGAUUCUAAUCAUAAUCUUGUAAUUAGUUAAUUUUAAUAACUAAAUCAAUCAUCCGUCCUCCUGA
Molecule: long non-coding RNA, 304 nt
Filed under: Physcomitrium patens
Lineage: Eukaryota; Viridiplantae; Streptophyta; Bryopsida; Funariales; Funariaceae
Description: long non-coding RNA (PPAT_LNC006013)
Source: RNAcentral